Capra hircus (goat) is the source of this 463-nucleotide non-coding RNA. Lineage: Eukaryota; Metazoa; Chordata; Mammalia; Artiodactyla; Bovidae. The record is from the annotation of a RefSeq genome assembly.
UGAUGCUGCCAUGGGCUCCAGGCUCCUCUGCUGUGUGACUCUCUGCCUCCUGGGAGCAGGCCUGGUGAAUUCUGGACUCACCGUGACCCCCAAGUACCUGAUCAAAUCAAGGAAAGAGCACCUGACUCUGAGAUGUUCCUCUGACUCUGGACACCGCUCUGUGUACUGGUACCAACAGGCCCUGGGCCAGAGCCCCCGAUUCCUUUUUCAGUAUUAUGAUGGGAAAGUAUAUCAAAAAGGAAACAUAUCAGAUAAAGUCUCAGGAAAACAGUUCAGUGAUGAUGCUCGCUUUGAGCUGAGUUUGACCUCCUUGGAGCUGACAGACUCAGCCAUGUAUCUCUGUGCCAGCAGCCAAGACACAGCACUGCUGAUCAGGUGCUUCUGGGACAAAAACACUCCUGCCCCAGCUCAGGAAGUGGUGCCCAGUGUGUCAGCUGCCAGCCUGCCAGGCCCACACUGGUAG